Acanthosepion pharaonis is the source of this 108-nucleotide non-coding RNA. Lineage: Eukaryota; Metazoa; Mollusca; Cephalopoda; Sepiida; Sepiidae. The record is from the annotation of a GenBank genome assembly.
UACGGCCGUAUCACGUUUAAGCACCGGUUCUCAUCCGAUCAACGAAGUUAAGUAACGUUGAACCUGGUUAGUAGUGGGUGACCGUUCGGCAAUACCAGGUGUUGUAAG